Molecule: ribosomal RNA, 354 nt
Filed under: bacterium LimB-1-A-231
Lineage: Bacteria
Also listed under: 1 other name
Description: bacterial SSU rRNA
Rfam family: Bacterial small subunit ribosomal RNA
Source: RNAcentral
GACCUGAGAGGGUGAUCGGCCACACUGGGACUGAGACACGGCCCAGACUCCUACGGGAGGCAGCAGUAGGCAAUCUUCCGCAAUGGACGAAAGUCUGAGGGAGCAACGCCGCGUGAGUGAUGAAGGCUUUCGGGUCGUAAAACUCUGUUGUUAGGGAAGAACAAGUGCUAGUUGAAUAAGCUGGCACCUUGACGGUACCUAACCAGAAAGCCACGGCUAACUACGUCCCAGCAGCCGCGGUAAUACGUAGGUGGCAAGCGUUAUCCGGAAUUAUUGGGCGUAAAGCGCGCGCAGGUGGUUUCUUAAGUCUGAUGUGAAAGCCCACGGCUCAACCGUGGAGGGUCAUUGGAAACU